AAAAAAAAAAAAAUGGGUCUGGUUAUUUCAAUUUGGUAUCAGAGCGAUUACAGUUCUAGGAUGUGUAGAAAAAUUAAUUGAUGAAUUAUUUUCCUGAUGAUUGAAGUGGGAUGAGCUAGGGUGUUAGCAUACUGAGGAUUGAUUAUGGAGUGUUUAGUCAAUUGUUUGUUGUUGGAGUCCUAGCAUCAUCUUCUCCAAGCCUUAAAUGAGAUUCCACGGUAAGUUGUUUGUGAUAUAUUCGUUGUUCUAGUUUCUUAGGCUUUUGUUCUUGAGUAGCGCAGUGGUUAGAGGAGCUGGAGUUCGUGGUCGUGGUCGCGGUAGAGGACAAGUCCUCGAGGGUACCGGCGAGAGUGAUGGCCACAGUGCCACAGUUGAGCAUAGUGUGGGUUCCCAGCCUGAGUUUGUGGAGCCCGGGGUUGGGGACGGUCUUGGUGCCGAUAUAGCUGGUGCAACCGGAGUGGGGGCUGGUGGAGCUGGUUUCGGUGCCGGUGUGCAUGCCGUUGGUACUGAGGGCCCAAGAGUGAUGGGUGCCGCACCGGAGGAGCCCAGGUUCCAGAGGUUGGUUUGGCGGGCCUACCGAGGCAGUUGUUGGAGCGGUUACCAGGUGUGGUACCAGUGCAGCCUCCAGUUGCGCCACGAGUGGCGGAGGUGCAGCAGAGGGAUGCGGUUGCUGAGGAGGUUCCAUCUUACUUGAGGAUGAUGGAGCAGUUGCAGAGGAUUGGCACCGGGUAUUUUUCUGGUGGUACUAGUCCUGAGGAGGCCGACAGUUGGAGGUCGCGGGUUGAGCGGACUUUUGGUUCGAGAAGAUGCCGGGCGGAGUAUCGGGUGGAUCUGGCAGUGCAUUUUCUAGAGGGGGAUGCACAUUUGUGGUGGCGGAGUGUGACUGCCAGGAGGAGGCAGGCAGAUAUGUCUUGGGCAGAUUUCGUGGCUGAGUUUAAUGUCAAGUACUUUCCGUAGGAGGCGCUCGAUCGUAUGGAGGCGCGUUUUCUUGAGCUGACACAGGGUGAGCGGUUGGUUCGGGAGUAUGACCGGGAGUUUAACCGACUUUUGGUGUAUGCGGGUCGGAGCAUGGAGGAUGGCCAGACCCAGAUGAGAAGGUUCUUGAGGGGACUUCGACCGGAUUUGAGGGUGCGGUGUAGAGUGUCGCAGUACGCCACGAAGGCGGCACUGGUGGAGACGGUUGCUGAGGUAGAGGAGGACCUUCAGAGGCAGGUGGUGGCAGUGAGUCCAGCGGUACAACCGAAGAAGACUCAGCAGCAGGUGGCACCUAGCAAGGGCGGCAAGCCUGCGAAGGGGCAGAAGAGGAAGUGGGAUCAUCCUUCUAGAUCUGGACAGGGUGGUCGUGCAGGAUGUUUUUCUUGUGGGAGCCUUGACCACAAGGUAGCGGAUUGCACGCAGCGAGAUGAGACGAGGGAGUGCUACCACUGCAGGGAGAGGGGACAUAUCAAGUCAAAUUGUCCUAAGCUGCAGCGGAUGACAGUGGCAGUAGUACAGCAGGUGGUGCAGCACGGAGCGCGGGUGCAGCAGGGAGUGCAUCAGUUAGCACAUAUUGCAGCGGCAGCGCAGGGUUACACUACGCGUGAGAUAGGCGGUACCAGCAACAGAGCGAUUACUGGUAUGAUUUCUGAGACUCAGACUUUGUGAAUUAUUUUUGUUAUUUUGGAUAUCAUUGUUUUGUGAUGAAUGUUAGGGUUUUUAGCACAUGAGGUUUGUGUAGGGACCUUAUUAGUGGGCGGUGUAGAGACCCAUGUGUUGUUUGACUCUGGAGCAUCGCAUUGCUUCAUUACCCCGGAGAGUGCCUCGCGCGACAACAUCCGUGGGGAUCCUGCCGAGCAGUUUGGAGCCGUCAAGGUUGCUGGAGGGCAGUUUCUAGCGGUUCUAGGGAGAGCGAAGAGUGUGGAUAUUCAGAUUGUAGGGGAGUCAAUGCCAGCAGAUUUGAUUAUCAGCCUUGUAGAGUUGUAUGAUGUUAUUCUGGGAAUGGAUUGGUUGGGUCCUUACUGAGUACAUCUUGACUGCCACCGUGGGAGAGUUUCUUUUGAGCGGCCGAAAAGGAGGUUGGUUUAUCAGGGAGUGAAACCUACCUCAGGGAGUCUCGUCAUCUCAGCAGUGCAUGCAGAGAAAAUGAUCGAGAAGAGUUGCGAAGCUUACCUGGUGACAAUAUCUAUGCCGGAGUCUGUGGGGCAGGUAGCAGUGAGCGACAUUCGGGUUGUUCAAGAGUUGGAGGAUGUGUUUCAAUCGUUGCAGGGAUUACCAUCAUCACGGUCUGAUCCUUUCACGAUUGAGUUGGAACCAGGGACAGCGCCGUUGUCUAAGGCACCCUACAGGAUGGCUCCAGCAGAGAUGGCAGAGCUAAAGAAGCAGCUAGAAGAUUUGUUGGGUAAGGGAUUCAUUCGUCCUAGUACUUCACCUUGGGGAGCGCCGGUGUUAUUUGUGAAGAAGAAAGACGGGACUUUCCGCUUAUGUAUUGACUACCGGGGGUUGAACCGGGUCACAGUGAAGAACAAGUACCCUUUGCCAAGGAUCGAUGAGUUGUUGGAUCAGUUGAGGGGUGCUACUUGUUUCUCUAAAAUCGAUUUGACGUCGGGUUAUCACCAGAUCCCGAUAGCGGAGGCAGAUGUUCGCAAGACUGCUUUCAGGACGAGAUAUGGACAUUUUGAGUUCGUGGUGAUGCCUUUCGGUUUGACUAAUGCACCUGCAGCGUUCAUGAGGUUGAUGAACAGCGUGUUCUUGGAGUUUUUGGAUGAGUUUGUGAUCAUCUUUAUUGAUGACAUUCUGGUGUAUUCUAAGAGUCCUGAGGAGCAUGAGGUACAUCUGAGGAGAGUGAAGGAGAAGCUGCGGGAGCAGAAGUUGUUCGCUAAGUUGAGUAAGUGCAGUUUCUGGCAGAGAGAGAUGGGUUUUCUGGGUCACAUUGUUUCUGCAGAGGGAGUUUCAGUGGAUCUAGAGAAGAUUGAGGCUAUUAGAGACUGGCCUAGACCGACAAAUGCCACUAAGAUCAGGAGUUUUCUUGGGUUGGCAGGGUAUUACAGGAGGUUCGUCAAGGGGUUUGCGAGUAUGACACAGCUGAUGACUAAGCUGACAGGGAAGGAUGUUUCUUUUGUGUGGUCACCGGAGUGCGAGGAGGGUUUCGUGAGCCUGAAGGAGAUGCUGACGAGUACACCAGUGUUAGCAUUGCCAGAGCAUGGAGAGCCUUACAUGGUGUAUACUGAUGCCUCGAGAGUUGGUUUGGGUUGUGUUCUGAUGUAGCGUGGGAAGGUUAUUGCUUAUGCAUCACGGCAGUUUAGGAAGCAUGAGGGUAACUAUCCUACUCACGAUUUGGAGAUGGCUGCGGUAAUCUUUGCCUUGAAGAUUUGGAGGUCUUAUCUUUAUGGCGGGAAAGUGCAGGUGUUCACAGAUCAUAAGAGUUUGAAGUAUAUCUUCACUCAGCCAGAGUUGAACCUGAGGCAGAGGCGUUGGAUGGAGCUGGUGGCUGAUUAUGAUCUGGAGAUAGCUUACCAUCCUGGUAAGGCUAAUGUGGUUGCAGACGCGUUGAGCCGUAAGCGCGUGGGUGCGGCUCUAGGGCAGAGUGUUGAGGCCUUGGUGAGUGAGAUUGGUGCUUUGCGGUUGUGUGCUGUGGCACGAGAGCCAUUGGGAUUGGAAGCUGUGGAUCGAGCAGAUCUUCUGACUAGAGUUCGGUUGGCUCAGGAGAAGGAUGAGGGGUUGAUUGCAGCUUCUAAGGCAGAGGGCUUUGAGUAUCAGUUUGCAGCUAAUGGAACUAUCCUUGUGCAUGGGCGAGUUUGUGUGCCUAAAGAUGAGGAGUUGCGGCGGGAGAUCUUGAGUGAGGCUCAUGCGAGCAUGUUUUCCAUUCAUCCAGAAGCGACUAAGAUGUACCGAGACCUCAAGCGGUACUAUCAGUGGGUCGGGAUGAAGAGGGAUGUAGCUAAGUGGGUUGCAGAGUGCGAUGUUUGCCAGUUAGUUAAGGCUGAGCAUCAGGUGUCGGGUGGCCUGUUGCAGAGUUUACCCAUUCCUGAGUGGAAGUGGGAUUUUAUCACGAUGGAUUUCGUGGUUAGGUUGCCUGUGUCGCGAACCAAAGAUGUUAUUUGGGUGAUCGUGGACCGUCUUACUAAGUCAGCACAUUUUCUGGCCAUCAGAAAAACCGAUGGAGCGACGGUGUUGGCUAAGAAAUAUGUGAGCGAGAUCGUGAAGUUGCAUGGAGUACCUGUGAGUAUUGUGUCAGACAGGGAUUCCAAGUUUACUUCUGCAUUUUGGAGAGCCUUUCAGGCAGAGAUGGGCACUAAGGUGCAGAUGAGCACGGCUUCUCAUCCACAGACAGAUGGGCAAUCUGAGAGGACUAUUCAGACGCUUGAGGAUAUGUUGCGGAUGUGUGUCUUUGAUUGGGGAGGUCAUUGGGCGGAUCACUUGAGUCUGGUAGAGUUUGCUUAUAACAACAUCUAUCAGGCGAGUAUUGGGAUGGCUCCUUUUGAGGCGUUGUACGGGAGGCCAUGCAGGACACCGUUAUGCUGGACCCAAGUGGGGGAGAGGAGCAUAUAUGGUGCAGAUUAUGUUCAGGAAACCACGGAGAGGAUCCGGAUUCUUAAGCUGAACAUGAAGGAAGCUCAGGAUCGACAGCGGAGUUAUGCUGACAAGAGGAGGAGAGAGCUUGAGUUUGAGGUUGGGGACAUAGUGUAUCUCAAGAUGGCCAUGUUGCGAGGUCCGAAUAGGUUUAUCUCAAAGACUAAGUUGAGUCCGAGAUACAUGGGUCCGUUCAGGAUUGUUGAGAGGGUGGGACCAGUGGCAUACAGGUUAGAGUUGCCUGAUGUUAUGCGUGCGUUUCACAAGGUCUUUCAUGUGUCGAUGCUGAGGAAGUGUCUUCACAAGGAUGAUGAGGUGUUGGCUAAGAUUCCAGAGGAUCUUCAGCCCAACAUGACUUUGGAGGCGAGACAGGUGAGGGUUCUCGAGAGGAGGAUCAAGGAACUUCGGCGAAAGAAGAUUCCUUUGAUCAAAGUCAUGUGGGACUGCGAUGGUGUGACAGAGGAGACUUGGGAGCCAGAGGCGAGGAUGAAGGCAAGGUUCAAAAAGUGGUUCGAAAAGCAAGUUGCUGCAUGAGUUUGCCUAUUCUUGGUUUCCAGUUUCAGUGUUAUUGAGUUUUUGAGCUUUUGAGUUGUUGUUCUUAUUUCUCUUUCAUUUGUAUUUUCGUUUGGAGUUGUAACGAUCAUGACAUUUGAUGAUUAAUAAGAUGAGUAUUUUUUCUUGGAUUUGACUUGAGUUGUCUUAUUUAAGAAUGUGUUGUGCGGUUUCCAAAAAUGGAAAGUUUCCUACAAAGGACUUGUCUAUUUUUGGAAAGUUUGAGUAAACAACCUAAGAGAAAGGUGUGUUUACGAGAUGGCCGGGAGUUGGUCAUAAGGAUGUUCUCGAGGGGAUAUGAUGGAUGGGGAGGCAUAGAGGUGUCUUACGCGAAUCCAUGAGAGAGUCUGGAGAUAUGUUCGGAAGCGUUUAGUAUUGUUGCUCGAGGGACAUGAGGGUCUCAACGACUCGUGAGGAGCGGGGUAUGCUCCUGAGGUACCGGUAACUCGAGGGACAUGGUGUCUUUAGAGUACGAGGGGUACGGUGGCUUCGGGUGACGAUCCGAGAGCACGCUUUAGGGUGACGACCCGAGAGCGAGUUUUGUGGUAUUAUUUUCUCCAUGUGUCGUAACUCGAUGACUUUGUGGCUGAGAGUGAGCCGACACAACUCAGGGUUUGACUUUGACUGGGGAAGAUAAUACGUGUGAUACCCGAGAUACCGUAGGCCGAGGCCUGAGAGUGACGGUUUAUACACGAAGAUUGCGGUCCGAGAGUGGAGAGUGAGUUGUGAGCAACAAUGACUAGUAAAUCGCGAGUAUAUCGACUGGAUAGAGAGACCUAGAGGGGGUCUGGUUGGAGGGAGUGCGGACCGUAGUGAUGGUUGCACGGAGUUCCUCGGAGUGGAAGGGUGAAGCUAGAUUCGAGGACGAAUCUAUGUUAGUGGGGAGAAUUGUAACGCCCGUGAAUCGGAAAAUCGGUUAGGGUUUGUUUUUAAAUUAUCCGGUUUAAUUGGUUGGGUUAAUUGGAAACCCUAGAGUGUGCCUAUAAAAGAAGGAAACUCGAAAUUGGGGCUUUAAUUAGCCACUUUUUGUUUUUUAAAGGAGAAAAAGAGAGAAAAAGAGAAGGAGCAGAAUCGUUAGGGUUUGUGAGAAACCAGUUUCGUCAUAUCAAAUCGUGGUAAAAGGUAACGAAAUG
RNAcentral lists this small RNA (6233 nucleotides) under Arabidopsis thaliana (thale cress). Its description in RNAcentral is "ATSL159940". Lineage: Eukaryota; Viridiplantae; Streptophyta; Magnoliopsida; Brassicales; Brassicaceae. The record is from RNAcentral.